Non-coding RNA from Oncorhynchus mykiss (rainbow trout), 1828 nucleotides. NCBI's taxonomy places the organism in Eukaryota, Metazoa, Chordata, Actinopteri, Salmoniformes, Salmonidae. The record is from RefSeq and is a predicted model, not a curated record.
UCAGUGGUUUGUUGUGUGCCAGGCACAGCGGUUUCUUGAAAGCAGAAUGAUAACGCUAAAUUCCAGCAAAUUAAAUUAUUUUCAUUGAACUCUUUGGGAGGAAAUCCAUGUCCAAUCCUACUGAAAGGAAUUGAAAGCAGGACCCCCAACUCUGAUAGUAAGGAUGUGCAGGAUUCAGCACACGUCUGCAUUAAAUCCAUCCACACUGUCCCGCAAGCUGCUAUAGCACAGACCUUCAUCCUGACUGGAUCAUCACAGGGGAGAUGGAUGAAGUCAGAUUUGCUUCAAGCAGAAGGCAACAACGUGCUGAAUAUGCUGAGCCAUUCUGUUUUGGGGUUUCACAACAUAAGAAGCGAGUCAAAGCCGGUGAUUACACGACCGAUUUAACCGCCAUGAUGGAUUCUCCCUGAGGUAAUAACGCAUCUGCCUAUGACGUGAAAGUAAAAAACCUUCAACAGCUACAGCGUAAUGAUACCCAACCCAUACCGGGGAAAUCAGAGUGCGGGCCCUAAACGGUUGAGCAAUUCAAUAGAAGCGUUUUCAUAUUUAUUUGCAGUGCUGCAUUUCAACCUGACAUCUCCUCCACAACGGCUUUACUGAAUCUGAUUGCUACAACCAGAAAGGUCUGGAUUCUUUUGUCGCAGAAUUGUUGACGCCGCUCUCUCUCCUUUCACAACUGACAGUUGACAGUGAUUGUACUAUUAGCUCCUGUUUCUGUGGAGAACAGUGCACUUGAAAGACAUUGGCAAUUACAUUUAACCCCUCCUUUCUUCCUCUCUCCCUCUCUUUCCCCCCAAGCCAAUUACAUAGGAAGGGAAUGGAUAAGCUAUGUUGAAUGGUAAGCCAUGUUGUCCCCUGCCUCAGUUUCGUUAGCUUCUGUAGGUUGUGUCGAAAAUGCUGGUGUUGGCACAUGCAGCCAUUGAUUUUGAUUUGGGGCCCUCUGUCUCCCACCUGAGUACAUCUGAGGGAGAGACUACAGCAAUUAGGGCCAGCAGCAUACUUGACCAUUUGAUAGAGGCUCAGCGUCCAUCUCCAGCUCUCUAGCUGCAUCCCCAGAAACUGUUUUGAUGAGGGCCCUAAAUAAGUGUUUGAACAUGAAAAGGCCUGACUCGGCAUGCUCUGCAGUGGCACACACCCAAAAUAAAAGAGACCUUCAGCAGUUUGCCUCUGAUUUCCCUAAAUCAUUACCCAGCCUCUAAACCACAGUGGAAGGUGAACCUUUAUGGAUGUGUGACAUUAAAGGUGUAAAAUAUAGGAUGUGAGGAUAUGCCAAUCCAUUGAUGUGGCAUCAUCAAAAAAGUGAUGUCAGCGCACUCCAAAAAAGUUCUGAUCUGGCAAACAAAACGUAUGUGGCCAAGUUCACCCCAUAGAUUUACUGUAAUUGUCACAUGAAACUCAACAGUAUUGUUGAGGGAGCUGACACUGAACAGACAGAGGGCCACUGCUUUGUCCACCUGAUCCUCCUCCUCUCAACUCUGUGGUUGAGCAGGAAACGCUCAGCACUUAUCAUUGCUGAUCCACAGAUGGAAGUGGGCAUGUUUGAAAACCUUGCAGCCCUAUGGGUCACUACUGGGGAAAUAUGGAGGAACAUAGAGGAACAGUAGUAGGCCCUGUUUCUGGACUGAAAACAGGAGGCCUUGCCUUCUGCUCAAUGGCAUUUGCAAUAGCCAAAUGGCAUCCAUUGAGAAUGGGGAGCAAUUAUCAUGAAAAGAACAGCAUGGAUUUCUUAUUGAUACAGCAUGGAUUUCUUAUUGAAAGUUAAUUCUAAAUAAAAAAUAAAAACAUGUCCAAAUUUUCAUUAAAACAACGUCCAACUUUCCUCAUCCAA